CCUGAAGGUACUGCGGAGAUCAUUGUCGGAUGCAAGUAGAAUGCCGGUGGACAUGUGGAUUUGUUGGAUCAUACGCAGCGGGGUGCAUGGGGAUCGACCCCCCGUGUGACCCCUCUUGGUCGAUGGCGGCAUGCCUUGAAGGGCAUGAGAACUUCGAUCUACCUCUUACACCGGCACGGGAUGUGCCAAGGUAAAGACCAUAUUGGAAGAUCCCCUCGUGGCCCUGUGCGGUGUGCGUGGCGCUCGGGGUAUCCAUGGCGGUGACUUUAGAAAUAUCGAUACAACGACUCUCGGCAAUGGAUAUCUCGGCUCUCGUGUCGAUGAAGAACGCAGCGAAAUGCGAUACAUGGUGUGAAUUGCAGAAUCUCGUGAAUCAUUGAGUUUUUGAACGCAAGUUGCGCCUGAGGCCGUUUUUUGGUCGAGGGCACGCCUGCCUGGGCGUCAUGCAUGGUGGAGCCCUCGGACCUCCCCAGAUAGGAGACCCGCUAAACGGGUUGAUUUUCGAUGGGAGGGGAUUUGGGGUAGACGGUGGCCUCCCGUUCCCUAUUGUGCGGCUGGCUUAAUUUCAUGGUCCCUGGCGACAUGCGGUGCGACGGGUUGUGGCAGACUGCGUUUUUCCCAUGUCGGUACGGGAACCCUGCGGUCCCGUGGCUUCAUCGACACUUAGAUUAGAUGGAGCAACACUUCCGACCCCAGGUCAGGUGGGAGCACCCGCUGAGUUUAAGCAUAUCAAAAACGGGAGAGAAAA
This 748-nucleotide ribosomal RNA is filed under the name Taxillus chinensis. RNAcentral describes it as "eukaryotic LSU rRNA". The stretch from base 286 to 444 matches the Rfam family "5.8S ribosomal RNA". The record is from RNAcentral. Lineage: Eukaryota; Viridiplantae; Streptophyta; Magnoliopsida; Santalales; Loranthaceae.